AAAACAGCACGAUGGAGCAAAAGGACAAGGGAUGGAAAGAAGGAGAUAAAGACAGAGGGAGAAGGGAAGCCUGAUUGGGGGCAGCCGCGGGCCAGCUUCCUGUCCCUCUUGCUGCCUUCUUCCCUCCGUCGUCCACUCUCUCCCCUCGUAGGGGAUGAAGAGAUUAAGAGGAAAUUACACCGAGUCCUUCUCUUCGACAAGGCAGGAGAAGUGGGGAGUCGGAACUUCAAACAACUUUUGAAAAGACGGGAUCAGAGGUCCUGGAAAAAAAGGGGCUGGACGAGGAAAAGACCGGCAGUCACGGAGGAAGAAAAAGACAAAAAAAACCCAAAAGAAGUCAUUUGGGAUUCGAGGUCACGGUAGAUGAAGGGAAGGGGACAGAGAAAGAAGUGAAUUAGAGAAGAAACUGAAUCUCUAUGUUGACCCCGGAAAGGAGGUUAUUGUGGUGACGGAAAAGUAUUUCCACGUAACUAAAGGCCACGAGACUGACACCGAGCUACGAGGGAGGGCUGCGUUUCUGCAGCAAACGAGCUCCUUCACGUAAUGAGCGAGAAGAGAAGGUGCCAAAAAAGAGGGUCGAGUGAGUGUAUUUCAGGUCAAUGUGAAGGCAACGAGGAAGCAAAAGGAAACCAAAUGACUUUGAUGAUUUCAUAGAAGAAAAUCCAUGAAAUCAAAGGCUGGCUUGCUACACGUUUGUGGCACUAUCGAGACGUGGAUGUGGUGGACAUCAGACCUUCAAAACCCAGCACGUGAACACCAAAGGCAGGAGUUCACGUUGGUUAUGAGAGCCUGAGCAGCGAUGGAAGUCACGUCAGUGGUGGAAUACGCGGAGGGAAAAGAUGGAGGGAGUUAGAGAGAAGGGUGUUUGUUUUGCCGCCAGUGGAGUAAAAAAGAGAUGGCACAAAACAAGUAAGACCAACAAGGACGGUGCUGAAAGAGGAAAAAAAUGAACCAAAGAUGAAUGCUGACAGGUAACCGAGGAGGAAAAGAAAUUAGAGUAGAAUGAGAAGGGAGAAAUAACCAAACGGGUUCGAGAGAUAAAACAACCACGGGACAGUGGGAGACGGAGUGAAUAAAAGAAAGGAAUGUCUUAUUCGUUGUCAGAUAACAAAGAGGGAGAGCACGAUCCCACAAUGGGCAGCAGUCAUCGCUCCAGAGGAGCCCUCAGUGUCCAGAUCUAACUUAAACAAAACAACAGGC
This is a long non-coding RNA of Gasterosteus aculeatus aculeatus (three-spined stickleback), 1200 nucleotides long. NCBI's taxonomy places the organism in Eukaryota, Metazoa, Chordata, Actinopteri, Perciformes, Gasterosteidae. The record is from Ensembl.